Molecule: long non-coding RNA, 1131 nt
Filed under: Dicentrarchus labrax (European seabass)
Lineage: Eukaryota; Metazoa; Chordata; Actinopteri; Moronidae
Description: lncRNA (ENSDLAG00005027421.1)
Source: RNAcentral
AUGUCGGAAAACAACAUGUUUUUCCUAAUAGGUUUCUACUGUCCUUUGGGGAGCUUCACUCCAGUCCCCUGUCCAAAGGGAACCUAUGGGCCAACUGCUGGUGCUGUGUCUAUAGACAGCUGCCUGAAGUGUCCUCCUCACCACUACUGUCCUAGACCGGGUCUGCCUGCCUCCCUGCCCUGUGGCCCUGUGGCUCAGCAGCCUCUGUCUGGUCAGGACUCUUGCGUCUGCCCGGGAGAGGGGCAGAGCUUCCAGACCAGUGACAGGCGGUGCCACUGUACCCUCGGCUACCAACCUUCCGACAACGGAGAUGUGUGUGUACACAAACUGUACGAUGUCUGCAGAGAUGGAAAAGCACGUACACAGAAUGGAGACUGUCUGAGCAGAUAUCAGUGGUCACUUCACUGUAAGCAGCAGGUGUGUCAAUCUGCAGAGGACUACCAUGGUUAUGAUGGACAGCUGGGUCUGUGCAUUUGUAAAGAGCCCCCUGGCAGAACUGCAUGUGGAGCCCUAUGCAGGAGAACGCCAGAUACUGAGCUCUAUCUCCAGUGCCAGCCCAAAGGAGAAAUGGAGCUGGUAUGGAGCUAUGGCAGUCAGGUGUCGGGCAUAUCAGGCAGCGUGCUGGAGACAGUUUUUAAACAGUGGGACUCCCAGGGGACUCUUCAGUGCAAAAGCCACCUCAACUCCUUACAUCCUGUCUACAUUGUUCAGACAACAGGUGGAGCACACAGCACUCAAAGUGACUUUCUGUCUUUCUCCCUUUCUCUCUCUCUCUGUUUCUCACAUCUUUCCCCCUCUCAUUGUCGGAUCACAGCGGCAGGCUUCCUCGGCCUCCUCAGCGGCCUCCCAAAGGAGCUUCAGCAACUGUUUCCUGUCACCACACAGCGAAACACUCAAAGCUCCGCUGAAAGCGAUUCUGACGUUCUGUGGGAGGUCAACAAAGUUGAAAAUAUCAGUCAAGAAGGUAGAGAAAUGAACUCCAGCAGCAGGAGGGCAAACAGGGGGGAUAUCGAGGAAGAAGUGAGAGGAACAAGUGUAACUGGAGUUCUGAACCCCACAGCGUGUCUCCUUUUGGGUGACGUUCUGCUGUUCACUGUCGACACACGUCACUAUCCUCAGUAUGAUCUGUAA